GACGAACGCUGGCGGCGUGCUUAACACAUGCAAGUCGAACGGAAAGGCCCUGCUUUUGUGGGGUGCUCGAGUGGCGAACGGGUGAGUAACCCGUGAGUAACCUGCCCUUGACUUUGGGAUAACUUCAGGAAACUGGGGCUAAUACCGGAUAGGAGCUCCUGCUGCAUGGUGGGGGUUGGAAAGUUUCGGCGGUUGGGGAUGGACUCGCGGCUUAUCAGCUUGUUGGUGGGGUAGUGGCUUACCAAGGCUUUGACGGGUAGCCGGCCUGAGAGGGUGACCGGACACAUUAGGACUGAGAUACGGCCCAGACUCGUACGGGAGGCAGGAGUGGGGAAUAGUGCACAAUGGGCGGAAGCCUGAUGCAGCAACGCCGCGUGCGGGAUGACGGCCUUCGGGUUGGAAACCGCUUUCGCCUGUGACGAAGCGUGAGUGACGGUAAUGGGUAAAGAAGCACCGGCUAACUACGUG
Molecule: ribosomal RNA, 468 nt
Filed under: uncultured bacterium
Lineage: Bacteria
Description: partial 16S ribosomal RNA
Rfam family: Bacterial small subunit ribosomal RNA
Source: RNAcentral